This 250-nucleotide ribosomal RNA is filed under the name uncultured bacterium. RNAcentral describes it as "partial 16S ribosomal RNA". It matches the Rfam family "Bacterial small subunit ribosomal RNA", at positions 57 to 305 of the family's 1533-position model. The record is from RNAcentral.
GCAAGUCGAGCGGUAACAUUUCUAGCUUGCUAGAAGAUGACGAGCGGCGGACGGGUGAGUAAUGCUUGGGAAUAUGCCUUAUGGUGGGGGACAACAGUUGGAAACGACUGCUAAUACCGCAUAACGUCUACGGACCAAAGGGGGGGAUCUUCGGACCUCUCGCUUCUUGAUUAGCCCAAGUGAGAUUAGCUAGUUGGUGAGGUAAAGGCUCACCAAGGCGACGAUCCCUAGCUGGUUUGAGAGGAUGAUC